GACGAACGCUGGCGGCGUGCUUAACACAUGCAAGUCGAGCGGUAAGGCCCUUCGGGUACGACGAGCGGCGAACGGGUGAGUAACACGUGGGUGACCUGCCCUCAGUUCUGGGAUAAGCCUGGGAAACCGGGUCUAAUACUGGAUAUGACCUCAUGACGCAUGUUGUGGGGUGGAAAGCCUUGUGCGACUGAGGAUGGGCCCGCGGCCUAUCAGCUUGUUGGUGGGGUGAUGGCCUACCAAGGCGACGACGGGUAGCCGGCCUGAGAGGGCGACCGGCCACACUGGGACUGAGACACGGCCCAGACUCCUACGGGAGGCAGCAGUGGGGAAUCUUGCGCAAUGGGCGAAAGCCUGACGCAGCGACGCCGCGUGAGGGAUGACGGCCUGUGUAA
This 392-nucleotide ribosomal RNA is filed under the name uncultured bacterium. RNAcentral's name for it is "bacterial SSU rRNA". It matches the Rfam family "Bacterial small subunit ribosomal RNA", at positions 28 to 428 of the family's 1533-position model. The record is from RNAcentral.